AGUGAACGCUGGCGAUAGGCCUAACACAUGCAAGUCGAACGGCAGCACAGUAAGAGCUUGCUCUUACGGGUGGCGAGUGGCGGACGGGUGAGGAAUACAUCGGAAUCUACUUUUUCGUGGGGGAUAACGUAGGGAAACUUACGCUAACACCGCAUACGACCUACGGGUGAAAGCAGGGGAUCUUCGGACCUUGCGCGAUUGAAUGAGCCGAUGUCGGAUUAGCUAGUUGGCGGGGUAAAGGCCCACCAAGGCGACGAUCCGUAGCUGGUCUGAGAGGAUGAUCAGCCACACUGGAACUGAGACACGGUCCAGACUCCUACGGGAGGCAGCAGUGGGGAAUAUUGGACAAUGGGCGCAAGCCUGAUCCAGCCAUACCGCGUGGGUGAAGAAGGCCUUCGGGUUGUAAAGCCCUUUUGUUGGGAAAGAAAAGCAGCAGGUUAAUACCCCGCUGUUCUGACGGUACCCAAAGAAUAAGCACCGGCUAACUUCGUG
This 492-nucleotide ribosomal RNA is filed under the name uncultured bacterium. Its description in RNAcentral is "partial 16S ribosomal RNA". It matches the Rfam family "Bacterial small subunit ribosomal RNA", at positions 29 to 507 of the family's 1533-position model. The record is from RNAcentral.